GUGCCGUCACCGAACGGUCGGCAGGCGAUCCGCGUCGGUCGUGCGAGGUGGUAUGGUUCCCCAGAGGCCGGUUCUUGUGCUGCCUACCCCUUCAAGGGAAGCGGGCCACUUGAUGUAAGCCUCCAUCCGGCGCCUUCCAAUGGGCGCAGGAGGACAACAGAGCACCCCCCGCGUUCCACCGAGCCUUCUCGGUCGCGUGGCCCGCGGGGACGUGCGAUGCUCUCGGACCCAGCGAAAGCCGUGGGGGAGGACUCACGUCCCAGUCCCGAAAAUAAGCUCCGAUAAAAUGCUGACGGCCGCUCCCCCCCCCCACCCCCCCGGCGGCGCGGGGGCGAGGCGCGGCGUCGCGGAGGAAUGCUACCU
RNAcentral lists this unclassified non-coding RNA (363 nucleotides) under Acacia ashbyae. RNAcentral's name for it is "partial external transcribed spacer". Lineage: Eukaryota; Viridiplantae; Streptophyta; Magnoliopsida; Fabales; Fabaceae. The record is from RNAcentral.